This 708-nucleotide ribosomal RNA is filed under the name uncultured bacterium. RNAcentral's name for it is "bacterial SSU rRNA". It matches the Rfam family "Bacterial small subunit ribosomal RNA", at positions 1 to 701 of the family's 1533-position model. The record is from RNAcentral.
UAGAGUUUGAUCCUGGCUCAGAUUGAACGCUGGCGGCAGGCCUAACACAUGCAAGUCGAGCGGCAGCGGGAGGAAGCUUGCUUCCUCGCCGGCGAGCGGCGGACGGGUGAGUAAUGUCUGGGGAUCUGCCCGAUGGAGGGGGAUAACCACUGGAAACGGUGGCUAAUACCGCAUAACGUCGCAAGACCAAAGUGGGGGACCUUCGGGCCUCACACCAUCGGAUGAACCCAGAUGGGAUUAGCUAGUAGGUGGGGUAAUGGCUCACCUAGGCGACGAUCCCUAGCUGGUCUGAGAGGAUGACCAGCCACACUGGAACUGAGACACGGUUCCAGACUCCUACGGGAGGCAGCAGUGGGGAAUAUUGCACAAUGGGCGCAAGCCCUGAUGCAGCCAUGCCGGCGUGUGUGAAGAAGGCCUUCGGGUUGUAAAGCCCUUUUCAGCGAGGAGGAAGGUGGUGAGUCUAAUACCCUCAUCAAUUGACGUUACUUGCGGAAGAAGCACCGGCUAACUCUGUGCCAGCAGCUGCGGUAAUACGGAGGGUGCAAGCGUUAAUCGGAAUUACUGGGCGUAAAGCGCACGCAGCGGUUUGUUAAGUCAGAUGUGAAAUCCUCUGAGCUUAACUUGGGAACUGCAUUUGAACUGGCAAGCUAGAGUCUCGUAGAGGGGGGGUAGAAUUUCAGGUGUAGCGGUGAAUGCGUAGAGAUCUGG